CAGAUGUCCUACAACUGUUUGCUGCAUCCUCCAUUUGCAGCUUACCUUAUCAUGGAUACACAUAACAGCAUUAUUAAAUCAUAAACCGUAUGCAUCAUUGCUUAAUUGUGUCCUUGUUAGUUCGUUGUACAAGAAUUGCGUGGUUAUCAGCUGGGACGACAGGAGGAAUUAAAGAUGAGAAGCUAUAUCUCUGCCUAGUCUCAAUCAACUGAAGGCCUUAGCGUUUGUGAUUGUCUGAUUGACAUACGCAUUCCACCUAAAUAAAGCUGGGACAAAACUCGUGUAAUCAUUCAUAACGGCCGUCAACAUUCAUAUAUAUGUAUUCGGUCAUAUAGAGUAAUCAGCUGCUAGAUCAGUUAACUAAAUAAAGAUCAGUGAGUGAGGCAUCAAGUGCAAUUAUUUAAUAAGUCCAGCCAACCAUGAAUCAUGUAAUAUACUCCAUCAUCAGUGUGCACUCAAGUGUAUGGCCGGGUCAAGCCAACCGACACGGUGCUGCUGGUUUUGACCAACACUUGGAUAGUUCCUUUUCAGAGUACACGUGAAGCUUCAUCUGUCUUUGAGUAGCCGAACGGGUCAGCUCUUCUAUGUCCACUGACCAUUAGUAUUGCCCUUCUCAAUUUUCAGAAAGUUGAACCAGCUGCCUGCUAGUUGCACCGCGUGUUUUGUUGGUGUUUCUUGUUUGAAAUCAAUCUCAAAUCCUUGGCAAAAAAAGAUUGUGACUAAUGCAGGAAAAAAGAAAAAGAAAAAGAAAAUGGUUUGCAGGGAUCUUGUUCCUGCGGCAUUGCAGCAGGUGGUCGGUUCAUGCUGCGGUUUGUGCUUGUGACAUAAAAACCAACUGCAAGGUACGCAGUCACUGUGCAGCAGGGUGUGUGUGUUUGCGCGCAGC
This 886-nucleotide long non-coding RNA is filed under the name Sorghum bicolor (sorghum). RNAcentral describes it as "long non-coding RNA (SBIC_LNC003784)". Lineage: Eukaryota; Viridiplantae; Streptophyta; Magnoliopsida; Poales; Poaceae. The record is from RNAcentral.